Molecule: non-coding RNA, 28 nt
Filed under: Cricetulus griseus (Chinese hamster)
Lineage: Eukaryota; Metazoa; Chordata; Mammalia; Rodentia; Cricetidae
Source: RNAcentral
AGGGCCAAGAAGAACGCCAAGAAAAAGG